AGCUUCCGGAGCAAAGGAGCCCUGCCUGGAAGGACAGUGAACUCCAUGUGACUAAAGGCCGAGAUCUGCCUCCAGAGUGGAGGGCUGGGAAGCCCACUGGGGAACCCCUUCUUCCUGUCCUGGCGGUGGCCUGAGAACUGGGACUGCGCUGGCCCUGGAGGGGACGCUGGUGUAUCAUCGACAUGGAAUUGCGCAGAGCCCGCAGAGACCCCGGGCUUUCAGGGCGGUUUCUGAGGUGCACCUGAAUCCAGCCUCGGCUGAGGCAGUGGCCGGCCUGCUGCCUAUGGGGCGUGACCACCUGCGAGAGAAAACACUGCUGGUAAAGAGGACCAGUGGGACUCCGCGAUCAGCUGGACAUGUUGAUGCUCGAGACAGGUGGCGUCUGCUCCCCAACCGAAGUGAUCCUCAGAAACUGAGUUGAUGAAGAUCUUCAGAAUUCUCAGGGGGUUACCUGUGCAUUGAAAAAGGAGUUGUGCAUCUUUAGUCCUGAGGGAUGCAUUAAUACCUCACUAUUACUGACAGCCUGUGUGUGAGACCAAACACGCAGCCUUCCCCAGGUCUCACUGCCUGGACUCCUGCUGCUUGCCCAUCGAGUGUGGCGUAAGAUGCAGCAUCUGUCCUCGGUUUUAGCCAUGAUGACAUGAUGACUGCACACGUCUCUUCAUAGAGCCUCCCUCCUCCCUAACCAUGUGGGCUCUAGAAAGCACUAGAAAUAUAGGCCACCUAAGAGUGGCCUCUGC
RNAcentral lists this long non-coding RNA (740 nucleotides) under Vulpes vulpes (red fox). Its description in RNAcentral is "lncRNA (ENSVVUG00000021687.1)". Lineage: Eukaryota; Metazoa; Chordata; Mammalia; Carnivora; Canidae. The record is from RNAcentral.